UUCCGGUUGAUCCUGCCGGACCCCACUGCUAUCGGGAUAGGACUAAGACAUGCUAGUCCUCCCAGCUAGGCGCGGCGCACAGCUCAGUAACGCGUGGCUAACCUGCCCUCGGGACGGGAAUACCCCCGGGAAACUGGGGCUAAUCCCCGAUAGGUGAAGAACUCUGGAAUGAGUCUCCGCCCAAAAGAGGCGCCGCCCAAGGAUGGGGCCGCGACCGAUCAGGUAGUUGGUGAGGCAACGGCUCACCAAGCCUUUAACCGGUGCGGGCCGUGAGAGCGGGAGCCCGGAGAUGGGCACUGAGACAAGGGCCCAGGCCCUACGGGGCGCAGCAGUCGCGAAAACUUUGCAAUACACGAAAGUGUGACAGGGCUAUCCCGAGUGCCAUCCGCUGAGGAAGGCUUUUACCCAGUAUAGAAAGCUGGGAGAAUAAGGAGAGGGCAAGACUGGUGUCAGCCGCCGCGGUAAAACCAGCACCUCAAGUGGUCAGGAUGAUUAUUGGGCCUAAAGCAUCCGUAGCCGGCUCUGUAAGUUUUCGGUUAAAUCUGUACGCUCAACGUACAGGCUGCCGGGAAUACUGCAGAGCUAGGGAGUGGGAGAGGUAGACGGUACUCGGUAGGAAGGGGUAAAAUCCUUUGAUCUAUUGAUGACCACCAGUGGCGAAGGCUGUCGGCUAGAACGCGCCCGACGGUGAGGGAUGAAAGCUGGGGGAGCGAACCGGAUUAGAUACCCGGGUAGUCCCAGCUGUAAACGAUGCAGGCUAGGUGUUUGGACGGCUACGUGCCGUUCUAGUGCCGCAGGGAAGCCGUUAAGCCUGCCGCCUGGGGAGUACGGCCGCAAGGCUGAAACUUAAAGGAAUUGGCGGGGGAGCACCACAAGGGGUGAAGCUUGCGGUUUAAUUGGAUUCAACGCCGGA
Molecule: ribosomal RNA, 913 nt
Filed under: uncultured archaeon
Lineage: Archaea
Description: bacterial SSU rRNA
Rfam family: Archaeal small subunit ribosomal RNA
Source: RNAcentral